CCUACGGGAGGCAGCAGUGAGGAAUAUUGGUCAAUGGACGAGAGUCUGAACCAGCCAAGUAGCGUGAAGGAUGACUGCCCUAUGGGUUGUAAACUUCUUUUGUCAGGGAGCAAUUGAGUCCACGUGUGGGCUUAGCAAGAGUACCUGAAGAAACAGCAUCGGCUAACUCCGUGCCAGCAGCCGCGGUAAUACGGAGGAUGCGAGCGUUAUCCGGAUUUAUUGGGUUUAAAGGGUGCGUAGGCGGAAUAUCAAGUCAGCGGUAAAAAUUCGGGGCUCAACCCCGUCGUGCCGUUGAAACUGAUGUUCUUGAGUGGGCGAGAAGUAUGCGGAAUGCGUGGUGUAGCGGUGAAAUGCAUAGAUAUCACGCAGAACUCCGAUUGCGAAGGCAGCAUACCGGCGCCCAACUGACGCUGAAGCACGAAAGCGUGGGUAUCGAACAGGAUUAGAUACCCUGGUAGUC
Molecule: ribosomal RNA, 460 nt
Filed under: uncultured bacterium
Lineage: Bacteria
Description: partial 16S ribosomal RNA
Rfam family: Bacterial small subunit ribosomal RNA
Source: RNAcentral